RNAcentral lists this ribosomal RNA (1490 nucleotides) under metagenome. RNAcentral describes it as "bacterial SSU rRNA". It matches the Rfam family "Bacterial small subunit ribosomal RNA". The record is from RNAcentral.
AGAGUUUGAUCCUGGCUCAGGAUGAACGCUGGCGGCGUGCUUAACACAUGCAAGUCGAACGAAGCACUUUAUUUGAUUUCCUUCGGGACUGAUUAUUUUGUGACUGAGUGGCGGGCGGGUGAGUAACGCGUGGGUAACCUGCCUUGUACAGGGGGAUAACAGUUGGAAACGGCUGCUAAUACCGCAUAAGCGCACAGCAUCACAUGAUGCAGUGUGAAAAACUCCGGUGGUAUAAGAUGGACCCGCGUUGGAUUAGCUAGUUGGUGAGGUAACGGCCCACCAAGGCGACGAUCCAUAGCCGACCUGAGAGGGUGACCGGCCACAUUGGGACUGAGACACGGCCCAAACUCCUACGGGAGGCAGCAGUGGGGAAUAUUGCACAAUGGGCGAAAGCCUGAUGCAGCGACGCCGCGUGAGCGAAGAAGUAUUUCGGUAUGUAAAGCUCUAUCAGCAGGGAAGAUAAUGACGGUACCUGACUAAGAAGCACCGGCUAAAUACGUGCCAGCAGCCGCGGUAAUACGUAUGGUGCAAGCGUUAUCCGGAUUUACUGGGUGUAAAGGGAGCGCAGGCGGUGCGGCAAGUCUGAUGUGAAAGCCCGGGGCUCAACCCCGGUACUGCAUUGGAAACUGUCGUACUAGAGUGUCGGAGGGGUAAGCGGAAUUCCUAGUGUAGCGGUGAAAUGCGUAGAUAUUAGGAGGAACACCAGUGGCGAAGGCGGCUUACUGGACGAUAACUGACGCUGAGGCUCGAAAGCGAGGGGAGCAAACAGGAUUAGAUACCCUGGUAGUCCACACCGUAAACGAUGGAUACUAGGUGUAGGGGAUGAAUAAUCUUCUGUGCCGUCGCAAACGCAGUAAGUAUCCCACCUGGGGAGUACGGCCGCAAGGUUGAAACUCAAAGGAAUUGACGGGGGCCCGCACAAGCAGUGGAGUAUGUGGUUUAAUUCGACGCAACGCGAAGAACCUUACCAGGGCUUGACAUAUAGAGGAAUAACUAAGAGAUUAGUUAGCUCUUCGGAGUCUCUAUACAGGUGGUGCAUGGUUGUCGUCAGCUCGUGUCGUGAGAUGUUGGGUUAAGUCCCGCAACGAGCGCAACCCCUGUUCUUAGUUGCCAGCACGUUAAGGUGGGAACUCUAAGAAGACUGCCGGUGAUAAAUCGGAGGAAGGUGGGGACGACGUCAAAUCAUCAUGCCCUAUAUGUCCUGGGCUACACACGUACUACAAUGGCUAUAACAAAGGGAAGCAAAACCGCGAGGUGGAGCAAAACCCAAAAAAGUAGUCUCAGUUCGGAUUGAAGGCUGAAAUCGCCUUCAUGAAGCCGGAAUUGCUAGUAAUGGCAGGUCAGCAUACUGCCGUGAAUACGUUCCCGGGCCUUGUACACACCGCCCGUCACACCAUGAGAGUUGGGAAUACCCGAAGCCUGUGAGCUAACUGUAAAGAGGCAGCAGUCGAAGGUAGAAUCAAUGAUUGGGGUGAAGUCGUAACAAGGUA